Molecule: ribosomal RNA, 376 nt
Filed under: uncultured bacterium
Lineage: Bacteria
Description: bacterial SSU rRNA
Rfam family: Bacterial small subunit ribosomal RNA
Source: RNAcentral
UACGUAGGGUCCAAGCGUUAUCCGGAAUCACUGGGCGUAAAGCGUGCGUAGGUGGCGUGUUAAGUGUGAUGUUAAAUCGUGGGGCUCAACCCUGUCGGUGCAUCACAUACUGGCAUGCUAGAGGACAGCAGAGGCAAGUGGAAUUUGUAGUGUAGCAGUGAAAUGCGUAGAUAUUACAAGGAACACCAAUGGCGAAGGCAGCUUGCUGGGCUACUCCUGACACUGAGGUACGAAAGCGUGGGGAGCGAACAGGAUUAGAUACCCUGGUAGUCCACGCCGUAAACGAUGCAUACUAGACGUAUGGGGUAUCGACCCCCUGUGCGUCGAAGCUAACGCGAUAAGUAUGCCGCCUGGGAAGUACGGCCGCAAGGCUAAA